GGGUGAGUAACGCGUAAGGAACUUGCCUCUUGGACUGGGACAACUGUUGGAAACGACAGCUAAUACCGGAUAUUAUGAGAUUCUCGCAUGAGAAACUUAUGAAAGCUAUAUGCGCCAAGAGAGAGCCUUGCGUUCCAUUAGCUAGUUGGUGGGGUAACGGCCCACCAAGGCGACGAUGGAUAGCCGGCCUGAGAGGGUGAACGGCCACAAGGGGACUGAGACACGGCCCUUACUCCUACGGGAGGCAGCAGUGGGGAAUAUUGGACAAUGGGCCACAAGCCUGAUCCAGCAAUUCUGUGUGCACGAUGAAGGUCUUCGGAUUGUAAAGUGCUUUCAGUUGGGAAGAAGAAAGUGACGGUACCAACAGAAGAAGCGACGGCUAAAUACGUGCCAGCAGCCGCGGUAAUACGUAUGUCGCAAGCGUUAUCCGGAUUUAUUGGGCGUAAAGCGCGUCUAGGCGGAAAAAUAAGUCUGAUGUUAAAAUGCGGGGCUCAACUCCGUAUUGCGUUGGAAACUGUUUUUCUAGAGUACUGGAGAGGUGGGCGGAACUACAAGUGUAGAGGUGAAAUUCGUAGAUAUUUGUAGGAAUGCCGAUGGAGAAGUCAGCUCACUGGACAGAUACUGACGCUGAAGCGCGAAAGCGUGGGGAGCAAA
Molecule: ribosomal RNA, 654 nt
Filed under: uncultured bacterium
Lineage: Bacteria
Description: bacterial SSU rRNA
Rfam family: Bacterial small subunit ribosomal RNA
Source: RNAcentral